Ctenocephalides felis (cat flea) is the source of this 232-nucleotide long non-coding RNA. RefSeq lists it as uncharacterized. The transcript is spliced from 3 exons. Lineage: Eukaryota; Metazoa; Arthropoda; Insecta; Siphonaptera; Pulicidae. The record is from RefSeq and is a predicted model, not a curated record.
GUCAGCUGCAAAAGUAUUUAAUAUGAAACCGGCAAAUAAGUAUAGUAUAGGCCGUCUUCAAUGCAAAGUCUGUUUAUGUGUUGUGAUAAGUGAUUUAUCAUGCAAUAUUGAAAUUUCUAACGCACCAGUCAGAAAUAUAACCUCAAUUCAGUGAUAUAUGAAUAAAGAGAAAGAAAAUUACAGUGCUGAUAACCCCUACGAAAAUGGAUUUCAAACUAGGGAAAUUUGCUCC